GCACAGAAACCGAGAGUGGUUUAGCUGUGGGUACGUUAAGUAAACAGACAGGACGUACAUGAGCCACACAGUCUCGCUGACAAGAUUCCCCCCAGGAAAGUAUAUCUAAACAACCCCAAUCAAGAACAGGGUUGUGUUUAACUAACCAGGGAAAACCUAGAACGAUGGAGGCUGUUGGGGAGUUAAUUAUUUGGAAGGUUAACUUCUCUUUGUGCAAAACACCCACAGACAUAACUAUUUCCUGGGUUUCAUGGGUUACCAGAGGUUUCUCCAGUGGUCUACCAUCUAUGGCCUCAACGGCCAAGGGUGUCUCCUUUCGAAUCAAAUUCAG
Pelobates cultripes (western spadefoot toad) is the source of this 331-nucleotide non-coding RNA. The record is from the annotation of a GenBank genome assembly. Lineage: Eukaryota; Metazoa; Chordata; Amphibia; Anura; Pelobatidae.